AAGAGAAUGUAGCUGUGGAUAUCGCAAUUCCAGAUCGAAAGGUUGAGGAAGAACCUGUGGCAGAAGCAGAGGAAAGCGAGGUUAAGUCCGGUUUAUCUGAAGAAAUAGCUGGUCAAGCGUUAUCGUCAGAAACUCCCAUCAAUGAAACUAUUGCCACACCAGUAGUAGAUAAUGAAAUCGUGGCACCGGCUUCUGAAGGAAAUGGGAGUACUGCCAUUGCAGGUGGG
RNAcentral lists this long non-coding RNA (227 nucleotides) under Linum usitatissimum (flax). RNAcentral describes it as "long non-coding RNA (LUSI_LNC000315)". The record is from RNAcentral. Lineage: Eukaryota; Viridiplantae; Streptophyta; Magnoliopsida; Malpighiales; Linaceae.